UACGGAGGGUGCGAGCGUUAAUCGGAAUUACUGGGGCGUAAAAGCGCGCGUAGGCGGCUUUGUAAGUCGGAUGUGAAAUCCCCCGGGCUUAACCUGGGAAUGCAUUCGAUACUGCAGAACUAGAGUAUGGUAGAGGGAAGUGGAAUUUCCGGUGUAGCGGUGAAAAUGCGUAGAUAUCGGAAGGAACACCAGUGGCGAAGGCGACUUCCUGGGCCAAUACUGACGCUGAGGUGCGAAAAGCGUGGGGAGCAAAACAGGAUUAGAUACCCCCGCGUAGUCC
RNAcentral lists this ribosomal RNA (280 nucleotides) under uncultured bacterium. Its description in RNAcentral is "partial 16S ribosomal RNA". It matches the Rfam family "Bacterial small subunit ribosomal RNA", at positions 524 to 796 of the family's 1533-position model. The record is from RNAcentral.